GGAAGGGCCAUGGCUCAGUGGUAGAGCAUGUGCUUUACAUGCAGAAGGUCCCAGGUUCAAUUCCCGGCACCUCCA
RNAcentral lists this transfer RNA (75 nucleotides) under Podarcis lilfordi (Lilford's wall lizard). Its description in RNAcentral is "tRNA.Val". It matches the Rfam family "tRNA". From Rfam's summary of the family: Transfer RNA (tRNA) molecules are approximately 80 nucleotides in length. Their secondary structure includes four short double-helical elements and three loops (D, anti-codon, and T loops). Lineage: Eukaryota; Metazoa; Chordata; Lepidosauria; Squamata; Lacertidae. The record is from RNAcentral.